GAUGAACGCUAGCUACAGGCUUAACACAUGCAAGUCGAGGGGAAACGAUAGAGAAAGCUUGCUUUUUCUAGGCGUCGACCGGCGCACGGGUGAGUAACGCGUAUCCAACCUGCCCAUCACUUGGGGAUAACCUUGCGAAAGUAAGACUAAUACCCAAUGAUAUCUCUAGAAGACAUCUGAAGGAGAUUAAAGAUUUAUCGGUGAUGGAUGGGGAUGCGUCUGAUUAGGUUGUUGGCGGGGUAACGGCCCACCAAGUCGACGAUCAGUAGGGGUUCUGAGAGGAAGGUCCCCCACAUUGGAACUGAGACACGGUCCAAACUCCUACGGGAGGCAGCAGUGAGGAAUAUUGGUCAAUGGGCGAGAGCCUGAACCAGCCAAGUAGCGUGCAGGAUGACGGCCCUAUGGGUUGUAAACUGCUUUUAUAAGGGAAUAAAGUGAGCCUCGUGAGGCUUUUUGCAUGUACCUUAUGAAUAAGGACCGGCUAAUUCCGUGCCAGCCGCCGCCGUAA
This 508-nucleotide ribosomal RNA is filed under the name uncultured bacterium. Its description in RNAcentral is "partial 16S ribosomal RNA". It matches the Rfam family "Bacterial small subunit ribosomal RNA", at positions 28 to 523 of the family's 1533-position model. The record is from RNAcentral.